This is a non-coding RNA of Pseudoalteromonas luteoviolacea S4054, 183 nucleotides long. The record is from Rfam. NCBI's taxonomy places the organism in Bacteria, Pseudomonadati, Pseudomonadota, Gammaproteobacteria, Alteromonadales, Pseudoalteromonadaceae.
UGUUCCCUAGCUCGCUGGACCGUGGAUUAUGUCCCUGAGCCGAUAAACUUUUUUUAGGAAUGCAGUUUAUCCACUUUUGCGCAAGCUUGGCAUGUACCGAGAAGCCUACGGUGGGUUGUUGCUUUCCGCCUUGAACCUUAGGGUUCAAGGACUUAUAUCCGCAUCCACGCAGCCGGGGACACC